GACCUGGUACGGUGGUCCGCCUUCACGGUGGUUACUGCUGGACCGGUUUCUACCUCUUGGUGAGCCGGCAUGCCCUUCACUGGGUGUGUCGGGGAACCAGGACUUUUACCUUGAGAAAAUUAGAGUGUUCAAAGCAGGCCUACGCCCGAAUACAUUAGCAUGGCAUAAUAAAAUAGGACGUGCGGUUCUAUUUUGUUGGUUUCUAGAGUCGCCGUAAUGAUUAAUAUGGAUCGUUGG
Molecule: ribosomal RNA, 237 nt
Filed under: Glomeromycotina sp.
Lineage: Eukaryota; Fungi; Glomeromycota
Description: partial small subunit ribosomal RNA
Rfam family: Eukaryotic small subunit ribosomal RNA (bases 92-237)
Source: RNAcentral